Long non-coding RNA from Myotis davidii, 883 nucleotides. RefSeq lists it as uncharacterized. Lineage: Eukaryota; Metazoa; Chordata; Mammalia; Chiroptera; Vespertilionidae. The record is from RefSeq and is a predicted model, not a curated record. The transcript has 2 exons.
GAUGGGCUCCCCGACAGGAGGCCUGUGGAAGCUGCUGAAGAAGCCGGAGCCACCGUGGCUCCUCUUCCCACCUGGCUUCCUGAUGGACAGUCAGCCAGCCACACGGUUCCCAGGGCCUCUACACCUGCAUCUCGCCAUCACUGCAGAGGGUGUCACCCCCAGCCCUGGUGCUGUGGUUUCAGGUCAAUCCCACUAGUGCCCAGUGCGGGUGGGCAUGCAUCCUGGUGGAUGUGCCACAAGAGGAUUUUGGUCCCUAGUCCUUGGUGUGGAGCCCCAGCACCUGCUUCUUACCAGGUGGGGUCAGAAGUGGGGACACCAAGCUUCAGAAACAGACGCAAACCUCAGUCUGGGGCAGGAAGAGCCAUUCACACACAGAGUCUACACAGGCUGCACAGUCCCUGGGGCCGGGACAAGGCAUCUGGUAGAAUCUCCCACCCAGCAGUGCUCCUGGAUCUGGGGCCUCCCCCACCAACCUGAAGAUCUCCACAGCCCUUUCCCAGAGACCCUGCAGACCCUCAGUGGUAUCAGCAGCUGAUGGAAGAGAAGAUUGCACAGCCUGGCACCAUUCACAAGCAUGAAGGAGGUACUGAGAUGCAGAGCUCUGCCUAUAAGUGCCACCAACCACCACAGAGAUGAACACGUCCAUGAGCAGCAGGACCAUAGGGCACCCACUGCAGAGAUGGACAUAUCCACAGGUGGCAGGACAGUGGGCACCCACUACUGAAAUGGAUGCGUACACAGAUGGCAGGACCACAGGAACCACUGUGGAGGUGGACAUGUUCAUGGCGGCAGGAUGGUGGAGCACCCACUAUGGAAACGAUAAGUCCACAGGUAGCAGGACUAUGUAUCCCUGCCGGAUUAAAUAAACUCUCACUCCUCCUGC